This 253-nucleotide ribosomal RNA is filed under the name uncultured bacterium. RNAcentral's name for it is "partial 16S ribosomal RNA". It matches the Rfam family "Bacterial small subunit ribosomal RNA", at positions 524 to 776 of the family's 1533-position model. The record is from RNAcentral.
GACGUAGGGGGCCAGCGUUGCUCGGAAUAACUGGGCGUAAAGGGUUCGUAGGCGGUGCGGCAAGUUGGGAGUGAAAUCUCUGGGCUUAACUCAGAGACUGCUUUCAAAACUGCCGUGCUAGAGUGUGAGAGAGGCUCGUGGAAUUGCAGGUGUAGCGGUGAAAUGCGUAGAUAUCCGUAGGAACAUCCGAGGCGAAGGCGGCUCACUGGACCACAACUGACGCUGAGGCACGAAAGCUAGGGGAGCAAACAGG